RNAcentral lists this transfer RNA (67 nucleotides) under Spilogale gracilis (western spotted skunk). RNAcentral's name for it is "tRNA-Pro". It matches the Rfam family "tRNA". Rfam says of the family: Transfer RNA (tRNA) molecules are approximately 80 nucleotides in length. RNAcentral also lists the same sequence under 8 other names. Lineage: Eukaryota; Metazoa; Chordata; Mammalia; Carnivora; Mephitidae. The record is from RNAcentral.
CAGGGAAUAGUUUAGUUAGAAUAUCAGCUUUGGGUGUUGAUGGUGAGGCUGUUAGUCUCUUCCUUGA